Molecule: ribosomal RNA, 253 nt
Filed under: uncultured bacterium
Lineage: Bacteria
Description: partial 16S ribosomal RNA
Rfam family: Bacterial small subunit ribosomal RNA
Source: RNAcentral
UACAGAGGUGGCAAGCGUUGUUCGGAAUUACUGGGCGUAAAGGGCGCGUAGGCGGCCAUCUAAGUCAGACGUGAAAUCCCCCGGCUUAACCUGGGAACUGCGUCUGAUACUGGACGGCUUGAGUAUGGGAGAGGGAUGUAGAAUUCCAGGUGUAGCGGUGAAAUGCGUAGAUAUCGAGAGGAACACCUGCGGCGAAGGCGGGUUGCUGGGCUGACACUGACGCUGAUGCGCGAAAGCCAGGGGAGCGAACGGG